This 190-nucleotide microRNA precursor is filed under the name Oryza barthii. RNAcentral's name for it is "MIR812 microRNA precursor family". It matches the Rfam family "MIR812 microRNA precursor family". Lineage: Eukaryota; Viridiplantae; Streptophyta; Magnoliopsida; Poales; Poaceae. The record is from Rfam by way of RNAcentral.
UAUUAGUUACUCUCACCUUCCCAUUGACCGUCCUUAUUUAAAACAUUGUUAUGAUUAAUAUUUUUAUUAUUAUUAGAUGAUAAAACAUGAAUAAUAUUUUAUGCAUGACUUAUUUUUUUUAUUUUUUUCAUAUUUUUUAAAAUAAACGGGCAAUCAAGCGUGGUACAUGUAAACCACAACUACAUUUAAA